RNAcentral lists this long non-coding RNA (1143 nucleotides) under Apteryx haastii (Great spotted kiwi). RNAcentral describes it as "lncRNA (ENSAHAG00000006039.1)". Lineage: Eukaryota; Metazoa; Chordata; Aves; Apterygiformes; Apterygidae. The record is from RNAcentral.
AUGGCACCCGCUCCUUGGGGAUGGGGGCGGCGUGGCCCUGCGGCCUGGGGUCCCCCCCUCCCCGCGCGCGUCCCUGCCGCCCCGCGCAGGGCCUCACUGUGCGCCCUUUCUUGCAGGGAGACGCUGGGGCCGCGGGGCCCAAAGGAGACAAGGUGGGUCCCCGUGCGCCUGCCCCCCGGGGCCGGGAGGGGCGGGAGGGAGGGCAGUGGUGCUGCCCCCCCCCCUCUCCUGUCCCGUGCAGGGCGAUACCGUCGUGGUGGAGGGGCCCGCUGGAGCGCGGGGCAGCAAGGGGGAGCCGGUAAGAGCCUGUCCCCCUCCCAGUCCUCCCCGUCCCCCUCUGUCACCGCUCCCGUCCCCACGGGCAGGGCUCCUCUGUGCACCCCCCCUGCCCGCCCAGGCAGCUCCUGGCCUCGCGGGGCUGAGCCUGCACCCCUCUCUCCCAGCGCAUCGCAGGAGAGAUCCCUUCCCUCUCCCCAUCCCCUGACCCUCUCCCCAUCCCGACCCUCUCCCCAUCCCCUGACGCCCUCCCUCUGCUUCCCCCCCGCAGGGCGAGCGUGGCCUGAAGGGCACGGAAGGGGACAAGGGGAACAAGGGGGAGCAGGGCCUCCCCGGAGAGAAGGUAGGGGGCUGCAGGGAGGGCCGGGGGGGGCCGGGGCUUGUGCAGGGCUGGGCCCGCUUGCCUGGGACCAGCGGGCUGCGGAGGGGGCGACGGCUGCGAUGCCGGGGGACCGGAGCGUGCUGGUGUCCCUGUGCCCCCCCGUGCCGGCGCCUGUGGGCCCCAGGCACAGUGCACGGCGCCUGGCACGGUGCUCGGCACCCCGGCACGGGGAGCUGCCGGGGCCGGUCUCGGGCGCUGCCGCGGCCGUGCCGUGGCCGCAGACGUCCCCGCGGCCAUCGCGGUUUCCGCUCGCAGGGGACACAGGGCGAGCCAGGAGAGAAGGGCUCCACGGGCUUCCCCGGGGCGCGCGGCCCCAGCGGGCAGAAGGUGAGGACCUGGGCAGCCACCGCUGCUGCCGCCGCCACCGGGGUGUGCGGGGGGCAUGGGGCCCUCCGUCACCCCUGGCCUUCACCCGUGCCUUUGCCUUCACCUUCACCUUCGCCAGGGAGAAGUCGGCGCGUCGGGAGAGCCCGGCGAGCCGGUGA